This 467-nucleotide ribosomal RNA is filed under the name uncultured bacterium. Its description in RNAcentral is "partial 16S ribosomal RNA". It matches the Rfam family "Bacterial small subunit ribosomal RNA", at positions 28 to 507 of the family's 1533-position model. The record is from RNAcentral.
GAUGAACGCUGGCGGCGUGCUUAACACAUGCAAGUCGAACGGAAAGGCCCAAGCUUGCUUGGGUACUCGAGUGGCGAACGGGUGAGUAACACGUGGGUGAUCUGCCCUGCACUUCGGGAUAAGCCUGGGAAACUGGGUCUAAUACCGGAUAGGACCACAUUUUGGAUGGUGUGGUGGAAAGUUUUUCGGUGUGGGAUGAGCUCGCGGCCUAUCAGCUUGUUGGUGGGGUAAUGGCCUACCAAGGCGUCGACGGGUAGCCGGCCUGAGAGGGUGUACGGCCACAUUGGGACUGAGAUACGGACCAGACUCCUACGGGAGGCAGCAGUGGGGAAUAUUGCACAAUGGGCGCAAGCCUGAGGCAGCGACGCCGCGUGGGGGAUGACGGCCUUCGGGUUGUAAACUCCUUUCGCUAGGGACGAAGCGUUUUUGUGACGGUACCUGGAGAAGAAGCACCGGCUAACUACGUG